UCGGGAAUAUUGCACAAUGGAGGAAACUCUGAUGCAGUGACGCCGCGUGCAGGAAGAAGGUUUUCGGAUUGUAAACUGCUUUAGAUAGGGAAGAAAAAAGACUGUACCUAUAGAAUAAGCUCCGGCUAACUACGUGCCAGCAGCCGCGGUAAUACGUAGGGAGCAAGCGUUAUCCGGAUUUAUUGGGUGUAAAGGGUGCGUAGACGGGUUAACAAGUUAGUUGUGAAAUCCCUCGGCUUAACUGAGGAACUGCAACUAAAACUAUUAAUCUUGAGUGCGGGAGAGGAAAGUGGAAUUCCUAGU
Molecule: ribosomal RNA, 303 nt
Filed under: uncultured bacterium
Lineage: Bacteria
Description: bacterial SSU rRNA
Rfam family: Bacterial small subunit ribosomal RNA
Source: RNAcentral